RNAcentral lists this non-coding RNA (101 nucleotides) under Schinkia azotoformans LMG 9581. Its description in RNAcentral is "Bacillus azotoformans LMG 9581 Purine riboswitch aptamer". It matches the Rfam family "Purine riboswitch aptamer". From Rfam's summary of the family: Riboswitches are metabolite binding domains within certain messenger RNAs that serve as precision sensors for their corresponding targets. Allosteric rearrangement of mRNA structure is mediated by ligand binding, and this results in modulation of gene expression. The record is from Rfam by way of RNAcentral. Lineage: Bacteria; Bacillati; Bacillota; Bacilli; Caryophanales; Bacillaceae.
UAUCUAUAUAAUUAACAACCUUGUAUAAGUUCAAGAAUACGGCUUGAACGUUUCUACCAGCUACCAUAAAUAGCUUGUCUACAAGGAUUAGAAAGUGUCAU